RNAcentral lists this non-coding RNA (30 nucleotides) under Mus musculus (house mouse). The record is from RNAcentral. Lineage: Eukaryota; Metazoa; Chordata; Mammalia; Rodentia; Muridae.
UGCACCACUAUGUCCUACUAAUUUUACCUA